RNAcentral lists this ribosomal RNA (435 nucleotides) under uncultured bacterium. Its description in RNAcentral is "partial 16S ribosomal RNA". It matches the Rfam family "Bacterial small subunit ribosomal RNA", at positions 30 to 507 of the family's 1533-position model. The record is from RNAcentral.
AGCGAACGCUGGCGGCAGGCUUAACACAUGCAAGUCGAGCGGGCACUUUCGGGUGUCAGCGGCGGACGGGUGAGUAACGCGUGGGAACGUGCCCUCUGGUUCGGAAUAACUCAGGGAAACUUGAGCUAAUACCGGAUACGCCCUUUUGGGGAAAGGCUUGCUGCCGGAGGAUCGGCCCGCGUCUGAUUAGCUAGUUGGUGAGGUAACGGCUCACCAAGGCGACGAUCAGUAGCUGGUCUGAGAGGAUGAUCAGCCACAGUGGGACUGAGACACGGCCCAGCCCCAGACGGGAGGGAGAAGGGGGAAAUAUUGGACAAGGGGCGCAAGCCUAAUCCAGCCAUGCCGGGGGGAGGAAGAAGGCCUAAGGGUUGAAAAGCUUUUUUAUCCGGGACAAAAAGGGGGGUACCGGAGAAAUAAGCCCCGGCUAACUUCGUC